AAAAAAAAAGAGAAGGUUACUGGAUUCUUUGUACCUGUGAAAAAGGUCAGCAAUGGCUGCUGCUUCUGCUGCUUUAUCGCUGCCGAAGUACAUUUCUGCGAGAGCCCAUCUUUCCAAUUCGAAGUUCAUCGCAUCGCCUUCUCAAUCUUUGAGGAAAGCGAGAACAGUGAAGCUCUCUGUUCGCGCCAUGGGGUCUUCUGCUUCUUCCCAGAGACCUGACAACCUUCAAGACGAAGUUGGCCCUGUCUCCUCGGAGAGUGAUGAAGAGUGGAAGAAACGUCUGACUCCGGAGCAGUAUUACGUUACCCGGCAAAAGGGCACUGAGAGGGCUUUCACCGGGGAGUAUUGGAACACUAAGACCCCAGGAACAUAUCAUUGCAUUUGCUGUGACACACCUCUGUUCGAAUCAGAUACAAAGUUUGACAGUGGAACCGGGUGGCCAUCAUACUAUCAGCCCAUAGGGAGCAAUGUCAAAUCGAAAUUGGAUCUCUCGAUCAUUUUCAUGCCACGACAGGAAGUCCUGUGUGCUGCUUGCGAUGCGCAUCUCGGUCACAUCUUCGAUGAUGGGCCACCUCCCACUGGUAAACGCUAUUGUAUCAACAGUGCUUCAUUGAAGCUGAAACCAAAGUAGAUAGAGGACACACCAAAGUGGGCAUCCUGAUUUUGCGAGCGACUGUUUUGUGUUGCCUUCCCAUAAGCAUAUGGAGAACAAUUGUUUCUGGAGUUUUCUGUGGUCAUGACAUCUACCUCAAGUGUGUGGAUGCGCUUGUAUGACGUAUGCUGCAUUGUAGAGCACUUUCAAUAUGGUGUGAUCAUCCAAUAAACUGUGCUGAAAUUUUGUA
Molecule: RNA transcript, 842 nt
Organism: Rhodamnia argentea
Lineage: Eukaryota; Viridiplantae; Streptophyta; Magnoliopsida; Myrtales; Myrtaceae
Gene name: peptide methionine sulfoxide reductase B1, chloroplastic
Exons: 6
Source: RefSeq, a predicted model, not a curated record